GUGCUUGCUUCAGCAGCACACAGACUAAAACUGGAACGACAGAGAUUAGCAUGGCCCCUGCGCAAGGAUCACAUGCAAAUUCGUGAAGCGUUCCAUAUUUAA
Molecule: small nuclear RNA, 102 nt
Organism: Ochotona princeps (American pika)
Lineage: Eukaryota; Metazoa; Chordata; Mammalia; Lagomorpha; Ochotonidae
Source: RefSeq, a predicted model, not a curated record